UGAAUGUGAAUAAAAUUAUGAUUGGCUAUAUAAGAUUUUUUUUCUUUUGAGAGAUAGGUAGCACGCUACCCGCUUCGUUUAUUUCAUUUAGAAAUAAAUUUAGCUAGAAAUAUGAAUCAACUAGGAUUCGAACUUGGGUCUUGGGUACCAACCACCAAGCCCUUUGCCACUUGCUCUAGGGACAGUCGGUGAUUGGCUAUAUAAGAUACUAUGAAUAUUAAUAAUGUCAAGCCUCGGAUUACACGUUCCCCAGGCACGCCGACAAAUCCGCCGUAUACAAAGGAAUUUCCUCUGUAUACGAAGCGACAGCUAUACCUGUAAACUGUACAAUACUACAAACAGUAGUAUAGAGCUGCUAGAGUAAACAGAAGCUAAACAAACGGAGUUCCAUAUACAUAGUCCAAUAACAAAAAAUACAGAGCUACUCGCACUGGCGAGUUAAGUAUACUAUAUACAUGAACUCAAAACAAAACAUCUACCUGCAGUAGGGGCACCUCUAGCUCGGCACGUCUGGUAGGGCUCUAACUCGCGACGCCCUUGCCUCGAUCCUGAUCUGCGACAGCAGCAGCCGACAACGAUGGCUCUGCAAAUACAGGGAGUAACAAUAGGGCGUGAGAACUACUAUAAAAACAGGUAGUCCUCAGUAGGUGCCGCCCUCAACAACAUCGGUCCACCCACUAAGUCUACAGAAGGGAGCAAGAAUAGUAGGAAAAGCAGGAAGUACACUCUACCGCUAUCAAUCACUACACUAUCAUGCUCUACACUAACCAAUUGUAGAAAAUGUGAAAUCUGACCCAAUCCAAUCGGGACUGUAGGCCUACCCGUCCCUAGGACUGUGAACACACCCGUCCCUGCCCAGUUGUGACUAUCCAGCUACCUCUACACUACUAGUCCGUGAAGAGCAAGUCCAACCGGCAUGAGCGACACCAACGUGAAAGCACAGCGCCCGUCUCCGGAGUGGCACUCGUGGGAGCUACCCAACCGAGUAUGCAGCGUAUCUCUGUCGAGCUCAAUUAGGCUCUCAAAAGCCAAAGUCCAGUGACCGACUCAAACUGGUCUAACAACCAACAGGUAGCGUGCCCUCGGCACAAUCCAACGCCAAAAAGGCGAUACAGGUCCACCGUCAACCCCGACGGCACCCAACAGUCCGGAACAGUCUAAACGCUAUUUUAAAAAUUCACUCGGUAUCCCCGCACGAGUGUAACUGAAAUCUAAACUAUUGGAAUUCUCAAUAUGAUGAUACUGCAAUAGUAUAAAAUCAUACAACGGCCCCUAGGGCUAAAUCAGGUAGUUUAACAUAUGCCGAUCGUUAUCGCAUUUUCUCCUAAGUCGAAUCCAAGUCCAACAUGUAUAUUUAUGGUUACAAGUCAUGUUCUCAAUGCUGAUUAGCCGUGAUAUGAUCAACAACCUGAGUUACAACAUAAUUUACCAGAAACCCGAAAAUCAUACAUGUCGACUAAUAUAUACUUAGGAAUAAACCGAUGUAACCCACCUCGAUCGCUAAACCCCGGUAGCGAGGAGGUCACCAAAAAUCCCCAAA
This 1540-nucleotide long non-coding RNA is filed under the name Ananas comosus (pineapple). RNAcentral describes it as "long non-coding RNA (ACOM_LNC041790)". Lineage: Eukaryota; Viridiplantae; Streptophyta; Magnoliopsida; Poales; Bromeliaceae. The record is from RNAcentral.